This is a long non-coding RNA of Heterocephalus glaber (naked mole-rat), 758 nucleotides long. NCBI's taxonomy places the organism in Eukaryota, Metazoa, Chordata, Mammalia, Rodentia, Bathyergidae. The record is from Ensembl.
GAGAGGGAAAGGCAGGCGGCCCGCUUCCCGCCAGCAACUGUCUCCUAUCUCGCCACUCUGCCGCACAAGGAAGAUACUGGAAGACUCAGAACAAGUUCCCUGGGUGCUGUCCCCUUGGGGCGGUGCUGCCCUCUGACUGAGAUGGUCCCUCCAGACGUGUGCCUGAUGUGCAGGAUGAAGAGGGGCUGCCGGCUAAGGGGCAUGGAGAAGGUGCACGGACCCCUGCCAGGCUUCCCGGGUUGGUGGCUGGAGUGCAGCUUGCAAGGUGGACGAGCCCCUGGGCACAGGCAGGGGCGGGGUCAGAGGUCCGGGCUGCCACACGGGGACUCGGGUGUGCUUGGGCAACAAGGCGGUGGGGGAAACCUGCGUCCAGACUGCAUAGUCCCUGUGGGCUCAUGUACCCAGGCUGCAUCCCGAAGAUGGGGUGCACUGAACACUGCAGAACGGAAGCAGUUUGAUCCGUUCAGAAAGAAUUCAGAAGUGGCCCUUCCAUGUCAUCCUUGACACAGCUGGGCUGUGCUUGCCCACCCAUCUGGAGCACACAGCACGCUCCCCGGCACGAGCGCGUGACAACUCCUCGGUCAGAAUCUCACCUGCCUCCGCGUCCUACGGAGCCACUCGUGUCGUGAUCCAAGUUCACGCCAGCUGGAUGACACUGGUAAAAUAUAAAACCUCCACGGUCAGUGUUUUCUAUCCUUCAGGCUGCUUUGGGUUAAGUUCCUGAAUUUCAGCUUUUCCACAUGCAUAUGUUCACGGCC